UACGGGGGGGGUAAGCGUUGUUCGGAAUUACUGGGCGUAAAGGGCUCGUAGGCGGCCAACUAAGUCAGACGUGAAAUCCCUCAGCUUAACUGGGGAACUGCGUCUGAUACUGGAUGGCUUGAGUUUGGGAGAGGGAUGCGGAAUUCCAGGUGUAGCGGUGAAAUGCGUAGAUAUCUGGAGGAACACCGGUGGCGAAGGCGGCAUCCUGGACCAACACUGACGCUGAUGAGCGAAAGCCAGGGGAGCAAACGGG
Molecule: ribosomal RNA, 253 nt
Filed under: uncultured bacterium
Lineage: Bacteria
Description: partial 16S ribosomal RNA
Rfam family: Bacterial small subunit ribosomal RNA
Source: RNAcentral